ACGGUGACACGGAGCUUGCUCUGUGGGAUCAGUGGCGAACGGGUGAGUAACACGUGAGCAACCUGCCCCUGACUCUGGGAUAAGCGCUGGAAACGGCGUCUAAUACUGGAUAUGUGACGUGACCGCAUGGUCUGCGUUUGGAAAGAUUUUUCGGUUGGGGAUGGGCUCGCGGCCUAUCAGCUUGUUGGUGAGGUAAUGGCUCACCAAGGCGUCGACGGGUAGCCGGCCUGAGAGGGUGACCGGCCACACUGGGACUGAGACACGGCCCAGACUCCUACGGGAGGCAGCAGUGGGGAAUAUUGCACAAUGGGCGAAAGCCUGAUGCAGCAACGCCGCGUGAGGGAUGACGGCCUUCGGGUUGUAAACCUCUUUUAGCAGGGAAGAAGCGAAAGUGACGGUACCUGCAGAAAAAGCGCCGGCUAACUACGUGCCAGCAGCCGCGGUAAUACGUAGGGCGCAAGCGUUAUCCGGAAUUAUUGGGCGUAAAGAGCUCGUAGGCGGUUUGUCGCGUCUGCUGUGAAAUCCCGAGGCUCAACCUCGGGCCUGCAGUGGGUACGGGCAGACUAGAGUGCGGUAGGGGAGAUUGGAAUUCCUGGUGUAGCGGUGGAAUGCGCAGAUAUCACGAGGAACACCGAUGGCGAAAGCAGAUCUCUGGGCCGUAACUGACGCUGAGGAGCGAAAGGGUGGGGAGCAAACAGGCUUAGAUACCCUGGUAGUCCACCCCGUAAACGUUGGGAACUAGUUGUGGGGUCCAUUCCACGGAUUCCGUGACGCAGCUAACGCAUUAAGUUCCCCGCCUGGGGAGUACGGCCGCAAGGCUAAAACUCAAAGGAAUUGACGGGGACCCGCACAAGCGGCGGAGCAUGCGGAUUAAUUCGAUGCAACGCGAAGAACCUUACCAAGGCUUGACAUAUACGAGAACGGGCCAGAAAUGGUCAACUCUUUGGACACUCGUAAACAGGUGGUGCAUGGUUGUCGUCAGCUCGUGUCGUGAGAUGUUGGGUUAAGUCCCGCAACGAGCGCAACCCUCGUUCUAUGUUGCCAGCACGUAAUGGUGGGAACUCAUGGGAUACUGCCGGGGUCAACUCGGAGGAAGGUGGGGAUGACGUCAAAUCAUCAUGCCCCUUAUGUCUUGGGCUUCACGCAUGCUACAAUGGCCGGUACAAAGGGCUGCAAUACCGUGAGGUGGAGCGAAUCCCAAAAAGCCGGUCCCAGUUCGGAUUGAGGUCUGCAACUCGACCUCAUGAAGUCGGAGUCGCUAGUAAUCGCAGAUCAGCAACGCUGCGGUGAAUACGUUCCCGGGUCUUGUACACACCGCCCGUCAAGUCAUGAAAGUCGGUAACACCUGAA
This 1350-nucleotide ribosomal RNA is filed under the name Microbacterium paraoxydans. RNAcentral describes it as "bacterial SSU rRNA". It matches the Rfam family "Bacterial small subunit ribosomal RNA", at positions 66 to 1425 of the family's 1533-position model. Lineage: Bacteria; Bacillati; Actinomycetota; Actinomycetes; Micrococcales; Microbacteriaceae. The record is from RNAcentral.